AAAUCUGAGACGGGAAGAGAUAUGGAGAAAGCAGUUAGACACAGGAAUAACACAUCUGUAGAUCCAGUACUCCGGGAACGAAAGUGAAAGGAACAUUAUUUUCAAAGGAAACAAUGAUAAGCACAAGACCUCUGAAGACGGACAUGUGAACCUUGGUGUUGGAACUGGUGAGCUGGGCUGCUCUUUCCAGGAUGGCUUUGUGGUUCUUGGAGGAAUUGUUGUGAGCAAUCUCAGCACAGUAAGGAUAAUCUUGAAUUCUUGGAAUCAAGUGAUCCUCCUGCCUCAGCCUCCCCAGUAGCUGGAAGCAUACACAUGCACCACUGCACCUGGCUUUUUGCAAGUUUUUCAAUGUUAUUCAACUGUGGGCUAGUAACAUCCUACAUAGCAGCAUCUCUCUCAAACAAUUUCACUAGCUUUCAAACACUUUAAGGAGCACUGGUUUGGAGCAUAAUAAAUCCCUAAUGGGACCCUGAAGCACGAUGACAUCCAAAAAGAUUUCUGAAACAAAUCCCAGAAGAUAUCCUACUGGUCGUUUACCAAAAUAAACAUAAAUGGAAUACGGACAAUGAUGUUGAUAAGUUAUUUCUAUACAAUUCCACCAGGGCUGAUCUUUAAGCAACACAA
This is a long non-coding RNA of Marmota monax (woodchuck), 624 nucleotides long. RefSeq lists it as uncharacterized. NCBI's taxonomy places the organism in Eukaryota, Metazoa, Chordata, Mammalia, Rodentia, Sciuridae. The record is from RefSeq and is a predicted model, not a curated record. The transcript has 3 exons.